UGGGGAAUAUUGCACAAUGGGCGCAAGCCUGAUGCAGCGACGCCGCGUGGGGGAUGACGGCCUUCGGGUUGUAAACUCCUUUCGCCAGGGACGAAGCGUUUUGUGACGGUACCUGGAGAAGAAGCACCGGCUAACUACGUGCCAGCAGCCGCGGUAAUACGUAGGGUGCAAGCGUUGUCCGGAAUUACUGGGCGUAAAGAGCUCGUAGGUGGUUUGUCACGUCGUCUGUGAAAUUCCACAGCUUAACUGUGGGCGUGCAGGCGAUACGGGCUGACUUGAGUACUGUAGGGGUAACUGGAAUUCCUGGUGUAGCGGUGAAAUGCGCAGAUAUCAGGAGGAACACCGAUGGCGAAGGCAGGUUACUGGGCAGUUACUGACGCUGAGGAGCGAAAGCAUGGGUAGCAAACAGGAUUAGAUACCCUGGUAGUCCAUGCCGUAAACGGUGGGCGCUAGGUGUAGGGACCUUUUGGGGUUUCUGUGCCGUAGCUAACGCAUUAAGCGCCCCGCCUGGGGAGUACGGCCGCAAGNACUA
This 532-nucleotide ribosomal RNA is filed under the name uncultured bacterium. RNAcentral describes it as "bacterial SSU rRNA". It matches the Rfam family "Bacterial small subunit ribosomal RNA", at positions 355 to 897 of the family's 1533-position model. The record is from RNAcentral.